Molecule: ribosomal RNA, 253 nt
Filed under: uncultured bacterium
Lineage: Bacteria
Description: partial 16S ribosomal RNA
Rfam family: Bacterial small subunit ribosomal RNA
Source: RNAcentral
UACGUAGGGACCGAGCGUUGUCCGGAUUCAUUGGGCGUAAAGAGCUCGUAGGCGGUCUGUCGCGUCUGCUGUGAAAUCCCGAGGCUCAACCUCGGGCUUGCAGUGGGUACGGGCAGGCUAGAGUGCGGUAGGGGAGAAUGGAACUCCUGGUGUAGCGGUGGAAUGCGCAGAUAUCAGGAAGAACACCGAUGGCGAAGGCAGUUCUCUGGGCCGUAACUGACGCUGAGGAGCGAAAGCGUGGGGAGCAAACAGG